This 118-nucleotide ribosomal RNA is filed under the name Sinocyclocheilus rhinocerous. The record is from RNAcentral. Lineage: Eukaryota; Metazoa; Chordata; Actinopteri; Cypriniformes; Cyprinidae.
GCUUACGGCCAUACCACCCCCUCUGCGCCAGAUCUCGUCUGAUCUCGGAAGCAAAGCAGGGUCGGGCCUGGUUAGUGUUUGGAUGGGUGACCGCCUGAGAAUACCAGGUGCUUUAGCG